ACGGGAGGCAGCAGUGGGGAAUAUUGCACAAUGGGCGAAAGCCUGAUGCAGCAACGCCGCGUGAAGGAUGAAGGUCUUCGGAUCGUAAACUUCUGUCCUUGGGGAAGAAACAAAUGACGGUACCCUUGGAGGAAGCCCCGGCUAACUACGUGCCAGCAGCCGCGGUAAUACGUAGGGGGCAAGCGUUAUCCGGAAUUACUGGGCGUAAAGGGUGCGUAGGUGGUUUUGCAAGCGCGGGGUGAAAGGCAUCGGCUCAACCGGUGUUAGCCUUGUGAACUGCAUUACUUGAGUGCAGGAGGGGAAAGUGGAAUUCCUAGUGUAGCGGUGAAAUGCGUAGAUAUUAGGAGGAACACCAGUGGCGAAGGCGACUUUCUGGACUGUAACUGACACUGAGGCACGAAAGCGUGGGGAGCAAACAGGAUUAGAUACCCUGGUA
RNAcentral lists this ribosomal RNA (436 nucleotides) under uncultured Anaerovorax sp. RNAcentral's name for it is "partial 16S ribosomal RNA". It matches the Rfam family "Bacterial small subunit ribosomal RNA", at positions 341 to 792 of the family's 1533-position model. Lineage: Bacteria; Bacillati; Bacillota; Clostridia; Peptostreptococcales; Anaerovoracaceae. The record is from RNAcentral.